UACAGAGGGUGCGAGCGUUAAUCGGAAUUACUGGGCGUAAAGCGCGCGUAGGCGGCUUUGCAAGUCGGGUGUGAAAUCCCCAGGCUCAACUUGGGAACUGCAUCCGAUACUGGAUGGCUUGAAUUCGGGAGAGGGAUGCAGAAUUCCAGGUGUAGCGGUGAAAUGCGUAGAUAUCUGGAGGAAUACCGGUGGCGAAGGCGGCAUCCUGGACCGACAUUGACGCUGAACGGCGAAAGCUAGGGGAGCAAACGGG
Molecule: ribosomal RNA, 253 nt
Filed under: uncultured bacterium
Lineage: Bacteria
Description: partial 16S ribosomal RNA
Rfam family: Bacterial small subunit ribosomal RNA
Source: RNAcentral